RNAcentral lists this small nuclear RNA (150 nucleotides) under Phascolarctos cinereus (koala). Its description in RNAcentral is "U1 spliceosomal RNA (ENSPCIG00000008898.2)". It matches the Rfam family "U1 spliceosomal RNA". From Rfam's summary of the family: U1 is a small nuclear RNA (snRNA) component of the spliceosome (involved in pre-mRNA splicing). The record is from RNAcentral. Lineage: Eukaryota; Metazoa; Chordata; Mammalia; Diprotodontia; Phascolarctidae.
AUUCUUCUUUUAGGGGUGAUUCCAUAAUUACGAAGGUAGUUUCCCCAGGGUGAGGCUUAUCCGUUGCAUACCACCCCUGUGAUUUCCUCAAAUGUGGGAAACUUAACUGCAUAAUUUGUGGUAGAGGGGGACCAUAUUUGUGCUCUCCCU